AGUGAACCGGGAAGAGCUCAAAUUUGAAAUCUGGCGUCCUUCGGGCGUCCGAGUUGUAAUCUAUAGAAACGUUUUCCGUGCCGGACCGUGUCCAAGUCCCUUGGAACAGGGUAUCAAAGAGGGUGACAAUCCCGUACUUGACACGACGACCGGUGCUCUGUGAUACGUUCUCUACGAGUCGAGUUGUUUGGGAAUGCAGCUCAAAAAGGGUGGUAAACUCCAUCUAAAGCUAAAUAUUGGUGGGAGACCGAUAGCGAACAAGUACCGUGAGGGAAAGAUGAAAAGCACUUUGGAAAGAGAGUUAAACAGUAUGUGAAAUUGUUGAAAGGGAAACGAUUGAAGUCAGUCGUGUCCAUUGGAUUCAGCCGGUUCUGCCGGUCUACUUCCUUUGGACGGGUCAACAUCGGUUCUGUUCGGUGGAUAAGGGCGGGAGGAAUGUGGCACCCCCCGGGGUGUGUUAUAGCCUCCUGUCGCAUACACUGGAUGGGACCGAGGAAUGCAGCUCGCCUUUAUGGCCGGGGUUCGCCCACGUUCGAGCUUAGGAUGUUGACAUAAUGGCUUUAAACGACCCGUCUUGA
RNAcentral lists this ribosomal RNA (578 nucleotides) under Kwoniella sp. RNAcentral describes it as "LSU rRNA". It matches the Rfam family "Eukaryotic large subunit ribosomal RNA", at positions 92 to 657 of the family's 3401-position model. RNAcentral also lists the same sequence under 1 other name. Lineage: Eukaryota; Fungi; Basidiomycota; Tremellomycetes; Tremellales; Cryptococcaceae. The record is from RNAcentral.